This 806-nucleotide ribosomal RNA is filed under the name uncultured bacterium. Its description in RNAcentral is "bacterial SSU rRNA". It matches the Rfam family "Bacterial small subunit ribosomal RNA", at positions 97 to 878 of the family's 1533-position model. The record is from RNAcentral.
GGCGCACGGGUGAGUAACACGUGGGUAAUCUGCCCUCGAGUUUGGGAUAACCCCGCGAAAGCGGGGCUAAUACCGAAUAAGACCACGGGGACCAAAGUCCCUGAGGUAAAAGAUGGCCUCUAUUUAUAAGCUAUCACUUGAGGAUGAGCCCGCGGCCCAUUAGCUAGUUGGUAGGGUAACGGCCUACCAAGGCUAUGAUGGGUAGCUGGUCUGAGAGGACGAUCAGCCACACUGGAACUGAGACACGGUCCAGACUCCUACGGGAGGCAGCAGUGGGGAAUAUUGCGCAAUGGGCGAAAGCCUGACGCAGUAACGCCGCGUGGGGGAUGAAGGUUUUCGGAUUGUAAACCCCUUUCGACCGGAACGAAUCUCCUCCUGGUAAAUAAUCAGGAGGAUCGACGGUACCGGGAGAAGAAGCCACGGCUAACUCUGUGCCAGCAGCCGCGGUAAGACAGAGGUGGCAAGCGUUGUUAGGAUUUAUUGGGCGUAAAGCGAACGCAGGUGGUUUGGUAAGUCAGGGGUGAAAGCCCACAGCUUAACUGUGGCACUGCCUUUGAUACUGCCUUUCUUGAGUGCAUGAGGGGGAAGCGGAAUUCCGAGUGUAGAGGUGAAAUUCGUAGAUAUUCGGAGGAACACCGGUGGCGAAGGCGGCUUCCUGGCAUGUAAGUGACACUCAUGUUCGAAAGCGUGGGUAGCAAACAGGAUUAGAUACCCUGGUAGUCCACGCCCUAAACGAUAGGCACUAGGUGUGGGAGGUAUCGACCCCUUCCGUGCAGCAGCUAACGCAUUAAGUGCCCCGCUUGGGG